Molecule: ribosomal RNA, 492 nt
Filed under: uncultured bacterium
Lineage: Bacteria
Description: partial 16S ribosomal RNA
Rfam family: Bacterial small subunit ribosomal RNA
Source: RNAcentral
AGUGAACGCUGGCGGUAGGCCUAACACAUGCAAGUCGAACGGCAGCACAGUAAGAGCUUGCUCUUACGGGUGGCGAGUGGCGGACGGGUGAGGAAUACAUCGGAAUCUACUUUUUCGUGGGGGAUAACGUAGGGAAACUUACGCUAAUACCGCAUACGACCUACGGGUGAAAGCAGGGGAUCUUCGGACCUUGCGCGAUUGAAUGAGCCGAUGUCGGAUUAGCUAGUUGGCGGGGUAAAGGCCCACCAAGGCGACGAUCCGUAGCUGGUCUGAGAGGAUGAAUCAGCCAACUGGGAACGGAGAAAGGGGCCAAAUCCUAAGGGAGGGAACAGGGGGGAAAAAUGGAAAAAGGGGGGAAAGCUGAACCAGGCAAAACGCGUGGGGGAAAAAAGGCUUCGGGUUGGAAAAGCCGUUUGUUGGGAAAGAAAAGCAGCAGGUUAAUACCCCGCUGUUCUGACGGUACCAAAAGAAUAAGCACCGGCUAACUUCGUG